This 563-nucleotide unclassified non-coding RNA is filed under the name Hevea brasiliensis (rubber tree). Lineage: Eukaryota; Viridiplantae; Streptophyta; Magnoliopsida; Malpighiales; Euphorbiaceae. The record is from RNAcentral.
CUGGUUCUUGGACUCCUGAAGGGAGCAGGACUAUCAUAAGGACCAUGUGCUUGAUACAUCCUCUGAUUGGGUGAAUAACUACUUUGCAUUUGAAUUUGAUGAGCAGGAGAGGGAGUCAUUUCAGUGUUCCUUAAUCCUGGACGGGGAGAAGAAAACCGCGCCAUGGGAGAACCACUAUCACUUGUUGGGGUAACAUAUCCUUGCUGAGCCUGGUUACCAGCAGCACUCCUUUUCUUGUUAGCAGAAAAUGCAGCCAUAGGAUCUGUGUAAAAAUCAAACCUUGGAAUUGCACGGGACUCCUCCUGUGCAGGCAGAGCGGCAGGGCUCUCCAGUAGUGGAUUAGCAAGGAAACCAGAAACUGCUGGGUUUUCAAAAUUGCUAGAAGCUUCAGCCUGAGCAGCUAUUGUUCGCAUUGCUUUCAAUCUUUCCCUCCUCCUUUCUGAAUCCUCCAUUUAACCAGCUAAAAAGAGCUCUAAUCGAAACACGAAUUUGAGUUGAUUACUUCUGCGAUUUCUCCCUGUCGCUUGUUUCAGUCGUAGAAAUUGAGAAUGGGAUGGAACGCG